AGCUAAUACCGGAUAAUCCUUUCCUACUCAUGUAGGAAAGCUGAAAGACGGUUUACGCUGUCACUUACAGAUGGGCCCGCGGCGCAUUAGCUAGUUGGUGAGGUAACGGCUCACCAAGGCGACGAUGCGUAGCCGACCUGAGAGGGUGAUCGGCCACACUGGGACUGAGACACGGCCCAGACUCCUACGGGAGGCAGCAGUAGGGAAUCUUCCGCAAUGGACGAAAGUCUGACGGAGCAACGCCGCGUGAGUGAUGAAGGUUUUCGGAUCGUAAAACUCUGUUGUUAGGGAAGAACAAGUACGAGAGUAACUGCUCGUACCUUGACGGUACCUAACCAGAAAGCCACGGCUAACUACGUGCCAGCAGCCGCGGUAAUACGUAGGUGGCAAGCGUUGUCCGGAAUUAUUGGGCGUAAAGCGCGCGCAGGCGGUCCUUUAAGUCUGAUGUGAAAGCCCACGGCUCAACCGUGGAGGGUCAUUGGAAACUGGGGGACUUGAGUGCAAAGAGAAAGUGGAAUUCCACGUGUAGCGGUGAAUGCGUAGAGAUGUGGAGGAACACCAGUGGCGAAGCGACUCUUUGGUCUGUAACUGACGCUGAGCGCGAAGCGUGGGAGCAACAGGAUUAGAUACCCUGGUAGUCCACGCCGUAAACGAUGAGUGCUAAUGUUAGAGGGUUCCGCCCUUAGUGCUGCAGCAACGCAUUAGCACUCCGCUGGGAGUACGGCGCAAGCUGAACUCAAGGAUU
Molecule: ribosomal RNA, 745 nt
Filed under: Niallia nealsonii
Lineage: Bacteria; Bacillati; Bacillota; Bacilli; Caryophanales; Bacillaceae
Description: bacterial SSU rRNA
Rfam family: Bacterial small subunit ribosomal RNA
Source: RNAcentral